CGAGGCGAACCGGGGAAACUGAAACAUCUCAGUACCCCGAGGAAAAGAAAUCAACCGAGAUUCCCCAGUAGCGGCGAGCGAACGGGGAGCAGCCCAGAGUCAACAUCAAUAUUUACCACAGGAGAAGGGUCUGGAAAGGCCGGCAAUAAAGGGUGAUAGCCCCGUAUCUAAAGCGGUAAGUGUUGUGAACUCGAAGAGUAGGGCGGGACACGUGUUAUCCUGUCUGAAUAUGGGGGGACCAUCCUCCAAGGCUAAAUACUCCUGACUGACCGAUAGUGAACCAGUACCGUGAGGGAAAGGCGAAAAGAACCCCGGCGAGGGGAGUGAAAUAGAACCUAAAACCGUGUACGUACAAGCAGUAGGAGCACCCGAAAGGGUGUGACUGCGUACCUUUUGUAUAAUGGGUCAGCGACUUAUAUUCUGUAGCAAGGUUAACCGCAUAAGGGAGCCGUAGGGAAACCGAGUCUUAACUGGGCGUUAAGUUGCAGGGUAUAGACCCGAAAUCCGGUGAUCUAGCCAUAAGCAGGUUGAAG
This 533-nucleotide ribosomal RNA is filed under the name Arsenophonus endosymbiont of Bemisia tabaci. RNAcentral describes it as "partial 23S ribosomal RNA". It matches the Rfam family "Bacterial large subunit ribosomal RNA", at positions 175 to 750 of the family's 2925-position model. Lineage: Bacteria; Pseudomonadati; Pseudomonadota; Gammaproteobacteria; Enterobacterales; Morganellaceae. The record is from RNAcentral.